RNAcentral lists this non-coding RNA (93 nucleotides) under pig gut metagenome. Its description in RNAcentral is "THF riboswitch". It matches the Rfam family "THF (Tetrahydrofolate) riboswitch aptamer". From Rfam's summary of the family: THF riboswitch presents a pseudoknot that joins P1-P2 and the loop of P3 and two THF binding. The record is from RNAcentral.
GCAGAGUAGUACGAAAAGCGUUAAGUGCCGCAUAACGGGAUGUUGAAUGCGGACGAAAAGGUCUUUACGCCUUGCGGUUUUUCGGCGCAUCCA